RNAcentral lists this ribosomal RNA (497 nucleotides) under uncultured bacterium. RNAcentral's name for it is "partial 16S ribosomal RNA". It matches the Rfam family "Bacterial small subunit ribosomal RNA", at positions 28 to 507 of the family's 1533-position model. The record is from RNAcentral.
GAUGAACGCUGGCGGCGUGCCUAAUACAUGCAAGUCGAGCGAACGGACGAGAAGCUUGCUUCUCUGAUGUUAGCGGCGGACGGGUGAGUAACACGUGGAUAACCUACCUAUAAGACUGGGAUAACUUCGGGAAACCGGAGCUAAUACCGGAUAAUAUUUUGAACCGCAUGGUUCAAAAGUGAAAGACGGUCUUGCUGUCACUUAUAGAUGGAUCCGCGCUGCAUUAGCUAGUUGGUAAGGUGACGGCUUACCAAGGCAACGAUGCAUAGCCGACCUGGGAGGGUGAUCGGCCACACUGGAACUGAGACACGGUCCAGACUCCUACGGGAGGCAGCAGUAGGGAAUCUUCCGCAAUGGGCGAAAGCCUGACGGAGCAACGCCGCGUGAGUGAUGAAGGUCUUCGGAUCGUAAAACUCUGUUAUUAGGGAAGAACAUAUGUGUAAGUAACUGUGCACAUCUUGACGGUACCUAAUCAGAAAGCCACGGCUAACUACGUG